RNAcentral lists this ribosomal RNA (253 nucleotides) under uncultured bacterium. Its description in RNAcentral is "partial 16S ribosomal RNA". It matches the Rfam family "Bacterial small subunit ribosomal RNA", at positions 524 to 776 of the family's 1533-position model. The record is from RNAcentral.
UACAGAGGCCUCAAGCGUUAGGCGGAAUCACUGGGCUUAAAGCGUGUGUAGGCGGGUCGUUAAGUACCUUGUGAAAUCCCACGGCUUAACUGUGGAACGGCUUGGUAUACUGGCGAUCUUGAGCCACUUAGGGGCUACCGGAACAGAUGGUGGAGCGGUGAAAUGCGUAGAUAUCAGGAGGAAUACCAGUGGCGAAGGCGGCUUUCUGGGCCUACCCUGACGCUGAGGAGCGAAAGCGUGGGGAGCAAACCGG